Molecule: non-coding RNA, 101 nt
Organism: Microdochium trichocladiopsis
Lineage: Eukaryota; Fungi; Ascomycota; Sordariomycetes; Xylariales; Microdochiaceae
Source: the annotation of a RefSeq genome assembly
UCCGAAUUGGUGUAGUGGCUAACAUUUGACGCUCUCACUUCCUCCGCAUUCGUGUAGAGAAAUGGCCCGUCAAGCCCGGGGUUCGAUUCCCCGAUUCGGAG